GAAAAGAAACCAACAGGGAUUGCCUCAGUAGCGGCGAGUGAAGCGGCAAAAGCUCAAAUUUGAAAUCUGGCGUCUUUGGCGUCCGAGUUGUAAUUUGAAGAAGGUAUCUUUGGGCCCGGCUCUUGUCUAUGUUCCUUGGAACAGGACGUCACAGAGGGUGAGAAUCCCGUGCGAUGAGAUGACCCGGGUCUGUGUAAAGUUCCUUCGACGAGUCGAGUUGUUUGGGAAUGCAGCUCUAAGUGGGUGGUAAAUUCCAUCUAAAGCUAAAUAUUGGCGAGAGACCGAUAGCGAACAAGUACAGUGAUGGAAAGAUGAAAAGAACUUUGAAAAGAGAGUGAAAAAGUACGUGAAAUUGUUGAAAGGGAAGGGCUUGAGAUCAGACUUGGUAUUUUGCAUGCUGCUCUCUCGGGGGCGGCCGCUGCGGUUUACCGGGCCAGCAUCGGUUUGGAGCGGCAGGAUAAUGGCGGAGGAAUGUGGCACGGCUUCUGCUGUGUGUUAUAGCCUCUGACGAUACUGCCAGCCUAGACCGAGGACUGCGGUUUUUACCUAGGAUGUUGGCAUAAUGAUCUUAAGUCGCCCGUCUU
Molecule: ribosomal RNA, 584 nt
Filed under: Candida albicans
Lineage: Eukaryota; Fungi; Ascomycota; Pichiomycetes; Serinales; Debaryomycetaceae
Description: LSU rRNA
Rfam family: Eukaryotic large subunit ribosomal RNA
Source: RNAcentral